CGCGGAUCAGAAUGCCGCGGUGAAUACGUUCCCGGGCCUUGUACACACCGCCCGUCACACCAUGGGAGUGGGUUGCAAAAGAAGUAGGUAGCUUAACCUUCGGGAGGGCGCUUACCACUUUGUGAUUCAUGACUGGGGUGAAGUCGUAACAAGGUAACCGUAGGGGAACCUGCGGUUGGAUCACCUCCUUA
RNAcentral lists this non-coding RNA (191 nucleotides) under Mangrovibacter sp. MFB070. Its description in RNAcentral is "Bacterial small subunit ribosomal RNA". It matches the Rfam family "Bacterial small subunit ribosomal RNA", at positions 1343 to 1533 of the family's 1533-position model. Lineage: Bacteria; Pseudomonadati; Pseudomonadota; Gammaproteobacteria; Enterobacterales; Enterobacteriaceae. The record is from Rfam by way of RNAcentral.